RNAcentral lists this transfer RNA (94 nucleotides) under Ageratum conyzoides. RNAcentral describes it as "tRNA-Ser". It matches the Rfam family "tRNA". Rfam says of the family: Transfer RNA (tRNA) molecules are approximately 80 nucleotides in length. The record is from RNAcentral. RNAcentral also lists the same sequence under 2 other names. Lineage: Eukaryota; Viridiplantae; Streptophyta; Magnoliopsida; Asterales; Asteraceae.
UGGGGGGAUAGCACAAGGGCUUAAGGCAUUGGUUUGCUAAAUCGACAUACAAGAAGAUUGCAUCAUGCAUGGGUUCGAAUCCCAUUUCUUCCAG